This 250-nucleotide ribosomal RNA is filed under the name uncultured prokaryote. RNAcentral's name for it is "partial 16S ribosomal RNA". It matches the Rfam family "Bacterial small subunit ribosomal RNA", at positions 524 to 773 of the family's 1533-position model. The record is from RNAcentral.
UACGGAGGGUGCAAGCGUUGUUCGGAAUUAUUGGGCGUAAAGCGCGCGCAGGCGGGAAUUUAAGUCAGAUGUGAAAUCCCUUGGCUUAACUGAGGACGUGCAUUUGAUACUGGAUUUCUUGAGUCCUGGAGGGGGUGGCGGAAUUCCCAGUGUAGAGGUGAAAUUCGUAGAUAUUGGGAGGAACACCAGUGGCGAAAGCGGCCACCUGGACAGUGACUGACGCUGAGGUGCGAAAGCAUGGGUAGCAAAC